Molecule: ribosomal RNA, 272 nt
Filed under: uncultured Staphylococcus sp.
Lineage: Bacteria; Bacillati; Bacillota; Bacilli; Caryophanales; Staphylococcaceae
Description: partial 16S ribosomal RNA
Rfam family: Bacterial small subunit ribosomal RNA
Source: RNAcentral
CGUUAGCGGCGGACGGGUGAGUAACACGUGGGUAACCUACCUAUAAGACUGGGACAACUUCGGGAAACCGGAGCUAAUACCGGAUAAGAUAUCGAACCGCAUGGUUCGAUAGUGAAAGAUGGUUUUGCUAUCACUUAUAGAUGGACCCGCGCCGUAUUAGCUAGUUGGUGAGGUAACGGCUCACCAAGGCAACGAUACGUAGCCGACCUGAGAGGGUGAUCGGCCACACUGGAACUGAGACACGGUCCAGACUCCUACGGGAGGCAGCAGGA